This 253-nucleotide ribosomal RNA is filed under the name uncultured Ruminococcus sp. Its description in RNAcentral is "partial 16S ribosomal RNA". It matches the Rfam family "Bacterial small subunit ribosomal RNA", at positions 524 to 776 of the family's 1533-position model. Lineage: Bacteria; Bacillati; Bacillota; Clostridia; Eubacteriales; Oscillospiraceae. The record is from RNAcentral.
UACGUAGGUGGCGAGCGUUAUCCGGAAUGAUUGGGCGUAAAGGGUGCGCAGGCGGUCCUGCAAGUCAGAAGUGAAAUCCAUGGGCUUAACCCGUGAACUGCUUUUGAAACUGUAGGGCUUGAGUGAAGUAGAGGCAGGCGGAAUUCCCGGUGUAGCGGUGAAAUGCGUAGAGAUCGGGAGGAACACCAGUGGCGAAGGCGGCCUGCUGGGCUUUAACUGACGCUGAAGCACGAAAGCGUGGGUAGCAAACAGG